This 253-nucleotide ribosomal RNA is filed under the name uncultured prokaryote. RNAcentral describes it as "partial 16S ribosomal RNA". It matches the Rfam family "Bacterial small subunit ribosomal RNA", at positions 525 to 777 of the family's 1533-position model. The record is from RNAcentral.
ACAGAGGGUGCAAGCGUUGCUCGGAAUCAUUGGGCGUAAAGGGCAGGUAGAUGGUCUCGUUUGUCUGGGGUGAAAGCCUUGAGCUUAACUCAAGAAGUGCCCCGGAAACGGCGAGACUGGAGUCUUGGAGAGGGUCGUGGAAUUCCCGGUGUAGCGGUGAAAUGCGUAGAGAUCGGGAGGAACAUCCGUGGCGAAGGCGGCCAUCUGGAUCAACACUGACGUUGAGGCACGAAAGCUAGGGGAGCAAACAGGA